GGAGCGGCUGGGACUGGGGAGGGGAGCGGUUCUACUGUUCGUAUAAUAUAUUAUGAGACUUGCAUGAUAGAAGUUACUAAUAUGCACAUGAUCUGUUGGUCUAGCUGACUAAAAUAUUAAGAAUAUUAAAUUACUGAUUGAAUGUGCUUGCUAGCAAUACUAUUUAUGACUUGCAACCAUUUUGAAUUUAGUGGCAAUAAGCCUUGCUAUUGCAACGAAAAACAGUUUUAUAACAACGCAAAUCAACUGUGGCAAAAUUUUCAGCGACUCGCAACCAUUUUUCAACUCGUGG
Molecule: long non-coding RNA, 292 nt
Filed under: Setaria viridis
Lineage: Eukaryota; Viridiplantae; Streptophyta; Magnoliopsida; Poales; Poaceae
Description: long non-coding RNA (SVIR_LNC000742)
Source: RNAcentral